This 524-nucleotide ribosomal RNA is filed under the name uncultured bacterium. RNAcentral describes it as "partial 16S ribosomal RNA". It matches the Rfam family "Bacterial small subunit ribosomal RNA", at positions 28 to 523 of the family's 1533-position model. The record is from RNAcentral.
GACGAACGCUGGCGGCGUGCCUAAUACAUGCAAGUCGAGCGCAGGAAACUGACGGAACUCUUCGGAGGGAAGGCAGUGGAAUGAGCGGCGGACGGGUGAGUAACACGUAAGGAACCUGCCUCAAGGAUUGGGAUAACUCCGAGAAAUCGGAGCUAAUACCGGAUAGUUCAACGGACCGCAUGGUCCGCUGAUGAAAGGCGCUUCGGCGUCACCUUGAGAUGGCCUUGCGGUGCAUUAGCUAGUUGGUGGGGUAACGGCCCACCAAGGCGACGAUGCAUAGCCGACCGGAGAGGGUGAUCGGGCACACUGGGACUGAGACACGGCCCAGACUCCUACGGGAGGCAGCAGUAGGGAAUCUUCCACAAUGGACGAAAGUCUGAUGGAGCAACGCCGCGUGAGUGAUGAAGGUUUUCGGAUCGUAAAACUCUGUUGUAAGGGAAGAACACGUACGAGAGGAAAUGCUCGUACCUUGACGGUACCUUACGAGAAAGCCACGGCUAACUACGUGCCAGCCGCCGCCGUAA